AAUGAACGCUGGCGGCAUGCCUAACACAUGCAAGUCGAACGAAGGCUUCGGCCUUAGUGGCGCACGGGUGCGUAACGCGUGGGAAUCUACCCUUAGGUUCGGAAUAACAGUUGGAAACGACUGCUAAUACCGGAUGAUGACGUAAGUCCAAAGAUUUAUCGCCUAGGGAUGAGCCCGCGUAGGAUUAGCUAGUUGGUGUGGUAAAGGCGCACCAAGGCGACGAUCCUUAGCUGGUCUGAGAGGAUGAUCAGCCACACUGGGACUGAGACACGGCCCAGACUCCUACGGGAGGCAGCAGUGGGGAAUAUUGGACAAUGGGCGAAAGCCUGAUCCAGCAAUGCCGCGUGAGUGAUGAAGGCCUUAGGGUUGUAAAGCUCUUUUACCCGGGAUGAUAAUGACAGUACCGGGAGAUUAAGCUCCGGCUAACUCCGUG
RNAcentral lists this ribosomal RNA (433 nucleotides) under uncultured bacterium. RNAcentral describes it as "partial 16S ribosomal RNA". It matches the Rfam family "Bacterial small subunit ribosomal RNA", at positions 29 to 507 of the family's 1533-position model. The record is from RNAcentral.